GUUCGAUUCUGGCUCAGAUUGAACGCUGGCGGGAUGCUUUACACAUGCAAGUCGAACGGCAGCACGGACUUCGGUCUGGUGGCGAGUGGCGAGCAGGUGAGUAUCCGGAACGUGCCUAGUAGCGGGGGAUAACUACGCAUUUAAGCGUAGCUAAUACCGCAUACGCCCUUCGGGGAAAGCGGGGGACCUUCGGGCCUCACUAUUGAAACGGCCGAUAUCGGAUUAGCUAGUUGGUGGGGUAACGGCUCGCAAGGCGACGAUCGUAGCUGGUUUGAAGGGACACGACCAGCCACACUGGGACUGAGACCUGGCCCAGACUCCUGGGAACGGCAGUGGGAAUUUUGGACAAUGGAAACCCUGAUCCAGCCAUCCCGCGUGUGCGAUGAAGGCCUUCAGGUUGUAAAGCACUUUUGGCAGGAAAGAAACAGCGCAGGAUAAUACCCGUACGAAGCAGUACCUGCAGAAUAAGCACCGGCUAACUACGUGCCAGCAGCCGCGGUAAUACGUAGAGGUGCAAGCGUUAAUCGGAAUUACUGGGCGUAAAGCGUGCGCAGGCAGUUCGGAAAAGAAAGAUGUGAAAUCCCAGAGCUUAACUUUGGAACUGCAUUUUUAACUACCGAGCUAGAGUGUGUCAGAGGGAGGUGGAAUUCCGCGUGUAGCAGUGAAAUGCGUAGAUAUGCGGAGGGAGCACCGAUGGUGAAGGCAGCCUCCUGGGAUAACACUGACGCUCAUGCACAGCAGUGGGGAGCAAACAGGAUUAGAUACCCUGGUAGUCCACGCCCCAAACGAUGUCAACUAGCUGUUGGGGCCUUCGGGCCUUGGUAGCGCAACUAACGCGUGAAGUUGACCGCCUGGGAAUUACAGUCGCAAGAUUAAAACUCAAAGGAAUUGACGGGGACCCACAGCGGUGGAUGAUGUGGAUUAAUUCGAUGCAACGCGAAAAACCUUACCUACCCUUGACAUGUCUGGAAUCCCGAAGAGAUUUAGGAGUGCUCGCAAGAGAACCGGAACACAAGGUGCUGCAUGGCUGUCGUCGGCUCGUGUCGUGAGAUGUUAGGUUAGAAGUCCCGCAACAGAGUGCAACCCUUGUCAUUAGUUGCUACGAAAGGGCACUCUAAUGAGACCGCCGGUGACAAACCGGAGGAAGGUGGGGAUGACGUCGGAUCCCCAUGGCCCUUAUGGGUAGGGCUUCACACGUCAUACAAUGGUCAGGACAGAGGGUCGCCAACCCGCGAGGAGCCAGUCCCAGAAACCCGAUCGUAAAGGUCGGAUCGCAGUCUGCAACUCGACUGCACGUGUAAGAGUCAGAAUCGCUAGUAAUCGCGGAUCGGCAUGUCGCGGUGAAUACGUUCCCGGGUCUUGUACACACCGCCCGUCACACCAUGGGAGUGGGUUUUACCAGAGAUGAUUAGCCUAACCGUAAGGAGGGCGAUUACCACGGUAGGAUUCAUGACUGGGGUGAAGUCGUAACAAGGUAA
This 1478-nucleotide ribosomal RNA is filed under the name uncultured Bordetella sp. RNAcentral describes it as "partial 16S-23S ribosomal RNA intergenic spacer". It matches the Rfam family "Bacterial small subunit ribosomal RNA". The record is from RNAcentral. Lineage: Bacteria; Pseudomonadati; Pseudomonadota; Betaproteobacteria; Burkholderiales; Alcaligenaceae.